CAGUAGCCACGGGAAUACGUAGGGUGCAAGCGUUAAUCGGAAUUACUGGGCGUAAAGCGUGCGCAGGCGGUUUGUUAAGACAGAUGUGAAAUCCCCGGGCUCAACCUGGGAACUGCAUUUGUGACUGGCAGGCUAGAGUAUGGCAGAGGGGGGUGGAAUUCCGCGUGUAGCAGUGAAAUGCGUAGAUAUGCGGAGGAACACCGAUGGCGAAGGCAGCCCCCUGGGCCAAUACUGACGCUCAUGCACGAAAGCGUGGGGAGCAAACAGGAUUAGAUACCCCUGUAGUCCCUGUCUCUUAUAA
RNAcentral lists this ribosomal RNA (301 nucleotides) under uncultured bacterium. RNAcentral describes it as "partial 16S ribosomal RNA". It matches the Rfam family "Bacterial small subunit ribosomal RNA", at positions 509 to 809 of the family's 1533-position model. The record is from RNAcentral.